RNAcentral lists this ribosomal RNA (319 nucleotides) under uncultured eukaryote. RNAcentral's name for it is "partial 18S ribosomal RNA". It matches the Rfam family "Eukaryotic small subunit ribosomal RNA", at positions 1470 to 1796 of the family's 1831-position model. The record is from RNAcentral.
CCCUUAGAUGUUCUGGGCCGCACGCGCGCUACAAUGGUCUUCGCAAACGGAUGCAUUCUCGAAGGAGAAUGCCAAUCUUGGAAUCUAUGCCUUGGUCGGGACAGUUGCUUGCAAUUUUUCGACUCGAACCAGGAAUUCCUUGUAGUCGUGAUUCAUCACAUCACGAUGAAUACGUCCCUGCCCUUUGUACACACCGCCCGUCGCUCCUACCGAUCGAAGAGUUAGGUGAAUUGUUUUGAUCGAUAAGAUUUGACUAUGGUCAACUCUCGUUGUGAAAUUCUGUGAAUCUGACUGUUUAGAGGAAGGAAAAGUCGUAACA